Molecule: transfer RNA, 81 nt
Filed under: Cinachyrella kuekenthali
Lineage: Eukaryota; Metazoa; Porifera; Demospongiae; Tetractinellida; Tetillidae
Description: tRNA-Leu
Rfam family: tRNA
About the family: Transfer RNA (tRNA) molecules are approximately 80 nucleotides in length. Their secondary structure includes four short double-helical elements and three loops (D, anti-codon, and T loops). Further hydrogen bonds mediate the characteristic L-shaped molecular structure. tRNAs have two regions of fundamental functional importance: the anti-codon, which is responsible for specific mRNA codon recognition, and the 3' end, to which the tRNAs corresponding amino acid is attached (by aminoacyl-tRNA synthetases). tRNAs cope with the degeneracy of the genetic code in two manners: having more than one tRNA (with a specific anti-codon) for a particular amino acid; and 'wobble' base-pairing, i.e. permitting non-standard base-pairing at the 3rd anti-codon position.
Source: RNAcentral
UCCAUUGUGGUGGAAAAGGUAGACACGUUGGACUUAAAAUCUGAUGGAAUAGCCGUAUGAGUUCAAAUCUCAUCAGUGGAA